This 516-nucleotide ribosomal RNA is filed under the name Bathicaris iridescens. Its description in RNAcentral is "partial large subunit ribosomal RNA". It matches the Rfam family "Bacterial large subunit ribosomal RNA", at positions 1829 to 2597 of the family's 2925-position model. The record is from RNAcentral. Lineage: Eukaryota; Metazoa; Arthropoda; Malacostraca; Decapoda; Benthesicymidae.
GUCUGUAUGGUUGUUAUGUAGAGUCUGGCCUGCCCACUGAUAUAAAUUAAAGGGCCGCGGUAUCUUGACCGUGCGAAGGUAGCAUAAUCAUUAGUCUCUUAAUUGGAGGCUUGUAUGAAUGGUUGGACAAAAAGUGAGCUGUCUCAGCUGCAGAAUUUGAAAUUAACUUUUAAGUGAAAAGGCUUAAAUAAUCUAGGGGGACGAUAAGACCCUAUAAAGCUUUACAGUUAAACGGUAUAUCAUAAUGUGUUAGUGUAACUUGGUUAACUUUUAAGCUGUUUCGUUGGGGCGACGAGAAUAUAAUAAAUAACUGUUCUUUUGUGUAGUUAACAAUGGUAAUUGGUUAAAAAAAUGAUCCUUUAUUAAAGAUUAAAAGAUUAAGUUACUUUAGGGAUAACAGCGUAAUCUUCUUUGAGAGUCCAGAUCGACAAGAAGGGUUGCGACCUCGAUGUUGAAUUAAGAGUUCCUUGUGGUGCAGCAGUUGCAAAGGAGGGUCUGUUCGACCUUUAAAUUCUU